RNAcentral lists this long non-coding RNA (322 nucleotides) under Cricetulus griseus (Chinese hamster). Its description in RNAcentral is "lncRNA (ENSCGRG00000025045.1)". The record is from RNAcentral. Lineage: Eukaryota; Metazoa; Chordata; Mammalia; Rodentia; Cricetidae.
CCCAAGGAGAGUGGCAAUGACGGAGCAUGUCUUCUUGAGUCUUAGCCACCACUACAACUGGAAGCAUGGCCAUUGCUUGCUGAUGAUGUCAUUCUGUAGGAUUCCUUGAAACGGGGUGAAAAGUUGGCCUGUCAACGUGCCAGGGUCAUGCUGAGCAUCCACAUGGAGCCAGAGCUGCUUGGACAGUCCGGCAGCACUCUUCUUUGGUACUUACUGUCCUUCUGACACAUUAAAUGAUGGAUGAUGCUUGGAAAGUCCAGCACUCUUCUUUGGUGUUUACCAUCUCUCUGACUCUUUAAAUGAUGGAUGGUCUCCUUCUUAG